UACGUAGGGGGCAAGCGUUGUCCGGAUUUAUUGGGCGUAAAGAGCGUGUAGGCGGCCAUACAGGACAGCUGUGAAAACUCGAGGCUCAACCUCGAGACGUCGGUUGAAACCGUAUGGCUAGAGUCCGGAAGAGGAGAGUGGAAUUCCCGGUGUAGCGGUGAAAUGCGCAGAUAUCGGGAAGAACACCCGUGGCGAAGGCGGCUCUCUGGGACGGUACUGACGCUGAGACGCGAAAGCGUGGGGAGCGAACAGG
Molecule: ribosomal RNA, 253 nt
Filed under: uncultured bacterium
Lineage: Bacteria
Description: partial 16S ribosomal RNA
Rfam family: Bacterial small subunit ribosomal RNA
Source: RNAcentral